This 24-nucleotide non-coding RNA is filed under the name Arabidopsis thaliana (thale cress). Lineage: Eukaryota; Viridiplantae; Streptophyta; Magnoliopsida; Brassicales; Brassicaceae. The record is from RNAcentral.
AGGGAAGCUAAUCGUCUUGCCGAU